CAGCCAGUACCAUUUGAUUCUCCCUUGCCCUCACACUUUGUUACUACGGGUAGAAAGAUAGACUUUGAUUUUUCAGAGUGUGAAGGAUUUUCAAUUGAAAAUAAGAUCAAAAGGAUGGGUUGGGAGUUCUUUUGUUGUUUGGAUAUACCCACUUACCCCAAUUUAGUAAGAGAAUUUUAUAGUAAUGUCAAAGUAGGGGUGGGAAGUGUUG
This 211-nucleotide long non-coding RNA is filed under the name Elaeis guineensis (African oil palm). RNAcentral's name for it is "long non-coding RNA (EGUI_LNC034806)". The record is from RNAcentral. Lineage: Eukaryota; Viridiplantae; Streptophyta; Magnoliopsida; Arecales; Arecaceae.